CCAGAGGGUCGGGCGGCCGCCGGCACGUUCGCGUGCGGGAGGAAAGUCCGGGCUCCACGGAAACGACGGUGCCGGGUAACGCCCGGCGGGGCAGGGGGCGACCGCUGCCUCAGGGACAGUGCAACAGAGAGAAGACUGCGACGGCUUCGGCCACGCGAGCGUGAAAGGGUGCGGCAAGAGCGCACCGCGCCGGCGGCAACGUCGGUGGCACGGUAAACCCCACCGGGAGCAAGACCGAAUAGGGGCGGCAUGGGUCUUCAAGGGCCCGGGGCAUGUUCCGGCCCGCCGCCCGGGUUGGUUGCUUGAGGCGACGCGCGAGCGUCGUCCUAGAGGAAUGGUCGCCCAGUCCCUUCGGGGGCGGACAGAACCCGGCUUACAGACCCUCUGGCACG
RNAcentral lists this RNase P RNA (392 nucleotides) under Sphingomonas jejuensis. RNAcentral describes it as "RNase P class A". It matches the Rfam family "Bacterial RNase P class A". Rfam says of the family: Ribonuclease P (RNase P) is a ubiquitous endoribonuclease, found in archaea, bacteria and eukarya as well as chloroplasts and mitochondria. Its best characterised activity is the generation of mature 5'-ends of tRNAs by cleaving the 5'-leader elements of precursor-tRNAs. The record is from RNAcentral. Lineage: Bacteria; Pseudomonadati; Pseudomonadota; Alphaproteobacteria; Sphingomonadales; Sphingomonadaceae.